CUUCUCGUGGUGUAGUGGUAACGCGCCUGUCUAGUGAGUAGGAGUCGUGAGCUCGAGUCUCACCAAGAGGA
Aedes albopictus (Asian tiger mosquito) is the source of this 71-nucleotide non-coding RNA. The record is from Rfam. Lineage: Eukaryota; Metazoa; Arthropoda; Insecta; Diptera; Culicidae.